Molecule: ribosomal RNA, 463 nt
Filed under: uncultured bacterium
Lineage: Bacteria
Description: partial 16S ribosomal RNA
Rfam family: Bacterial small subunit ribosomal RNA (bases 48-463)
Source: RNAcentral
GGGGGGGGGGGGGGGGGGGGGGGGGGGGGGGGGGGGGGGGGGGGGGGGCGGGGCGGGGGUGGUCGGGUGGCGGACGGGGGGGUGACAGGGGGGGGAGCUGCCCUGCACUCUGGGAUAAGCCUGGGGAACUGGGUCUGAUACCGGGUAGGACCGCACUUUCGGGGGGGGGGGGGAAAGUUUGUUCGGUGUAGGAUGAGCCCGCGGCCUAUCAGCGUGGUGGUGGGGUAAUGGCCUACCAAGGCGGCGACGGGUAGCCGGACUGAGAGGGUGGUCGGCCACAUUGGGACUGAGAGACGGACCAGACUCCUACGGGAGGCAGCAGGGGGGAAUAUUGCACAAUGGGCGCAAGCCUGAUGCAGCGACGCCGCGUGGGGGAUGACGGCCUUCGGGUUGUAAACUCCUUUCGCCAGGGACGAAGCGUUUUGUGACGGUACCUGGAGAAGAAGCACCGGCUAACUACGUG